GUAAUGCCGGAUGCUCCGACUCCUCGCAUGGGGUGUCGGGAAAGAUUUCAUCGGUAUGGGAUGGGGUCGCGUCCUAUCAGGUAGUCGGCGGGGUAACGGCCCACCGAGCCUACGACGGGUAGCCGGCCUGAGAGGGCGACCGGCCACAUUGGGACUGAGAUACGGCCCAGACUCCUACGGGAGGCAGCAGUGGGGAAUAUUGCACAAUGGGCGCAAGCCUGAUGCAGCGACGCCGCGUGCGGGAUGACGGCCUUCGGGUUGUAAACCGCUUUUGAUCGGGAGCAAGCCUUCGGGUGAGUGUACCUUUCGAAUAAGCACCGGCUAACUACGUGCCAGCAGCCGCGGUAAUACGUAGGGUGCAAGCGUUAUCCGGAAUUAUUGGGCGUAAAGGGCUCGUAGGCGGUUCGUCGCGUCCGGUGUGAAAGUCCAUCGCUUAACGGUGGAUCUGCGCCGGGUACGGGCGGGCUGGAGUGCGGUAGGGGAGACUGGAAUUCCCGGUGUAACGGUGGAAUGUGUAGAUAUCGGAAAGAACACC
This 535-nucleotide ribosomal RNA is filed under the name Bifidobacterium pseudocatenulatum. RNAcentral describes it as "bacterial SSU rRNA". It matches the Rfam family "Bacterial small subunit ribosomal RNA", at positions 163 to 710 of the family's 1533-position model. Lineage: Bacteria; Bacillati; Actinomycetota; Actinomycetes; Bifidobacteriales; Bifidobacteriaceae. The record is from RNAcentral.